GUGGCCUUUGGGGUUUUUUUGACUAUUCACUUUGACAGAUGUUCUUACUUUUACUUGAAAAACAGUCCAUACUAAAUAUGUGUUGCGUGUGUAAAGUGCAUUCCUUGUGUACCUCAUAGGAAGAGUGAGUUUGUUAACCGGUGACCAGCUGUAGGAAAGCAAGGCUGCACCACGACAAGAGAUACAAUGACAGGCGUCUCCAGUUUAACGUGCUGACACAGAACCUCCCGUCGUCUUCCUGAUUUCCAUGCACGGUGCCACCACAGUUCACUCACUUGCGUCGGCGUCACACUAGGAAUCUUCCGUCAUCCCUCACCGUCUGGGUCCCACUCAGCAGCCAGCACCAUCAGCUUGUCUUCGCUGAGUGUUACCUCUGUCCAGCCUUCCAAACCAGACCCUGCAGCGCCUCUUGGGAACGCCCUGCGGAAGAUCUGUGCUGAUGCCUCACCACCUGCAGGACAGAAGUGCAGACUCCUGCCCGGGACAGAAUAAGAUGGACGUGACCGUGAGUCUGAGACUAGGUCAUAGAAGGCUCCGGGACUUCUUCCUCAUGCGUGCUGUCUUGAAUCGCUCUGAGGGAAGCCAGCUGCCGUGUCCUAGGAUGCACAGGCAGCCUGUAUGCCCAGAAAGGGAGUCCGACAGCCAGCGGGGGCCCGAAACCUGCAGCACCACGCACAGGAGCCUGAGAUGGCUUCAGCCUCUGCCAAGUCUGAGAAAUAAGUAUUUGUUUUAAGCUGAUA
RNAcentral lists this long non-coding RNA (740 nucleotides) under Equus asinus (donkey). RNAcentral's name for it is "lncRNA (ENSEASG00005025395.1)". Lineage: Eukaryota; Metazoa; Chordata; Mammalia; Perissodactyla; Equidae. The record is from RNAcentral.